This 263-nucleotide long non-coding RNA is filed under the name Elaeis guineensis (African oil palm). RNAcentral describes it as "long non-coding RNA (EGUI_LNC014258)". Lineage: Eukaryota; Viridiplantae; Streptophyta; Magnoliopsida; Arecales; Arecaceae. The record is from RNAcentral.
GAGCAAGCUCCUCGACCGACAUCGAGCUUCUCUCUGACGAUGAGCAGGAUGUUUAGGUUUACUAGGUUGUCUUUCUUAUAUUAUCAUUUACUUUAAUUGCUUAUGAUUGUCUUUGAUGCAUGAAACUCUUACCUCGUGUAUUGUUUAGUGUAGCAUUUUGUAAGACAAUACACAUUUUUGUAAUAGUACAAUAGCUAUGCAAUGAAGUUUUUCUUAUAUUCAUUAUUUCUGUCUUGUGCUCUGGCCUUCUUAUUCUUUUAUCA